CCCUUUCCAACCAACCCCACACUGCCUCCCCCUGCCUGUAGAAUUAAUCACUCCCUUUUCUAUGAACCCACAGAAUUUUGCAUAUACAUGCUUCUUUCUCUCUUACCAUGGUAUCAAGUAAGAUGUGCAGACCACUCUCUCUCACAAACCUGUGAGCCCUUCUGGGGCAGAGGUUAACGCUUAUUCGUAUACAAACCACCAGUAUCCAGGAUAGUGCCUGCUACAGAAGAGGUUCCGACAAAAUGAUGUUGGUAGCCAUGUGCAUUGGGGUUAAGAGGGGCUUUGGAAUCAAAGAGACCAAGUUUGGUACCUAGAAAAUACCAUUCGUUAGCUCCAGGACUUGCAGAAGGUUAUGCAGUAUCUCUGUGGUAGGUAGAGUACUAGCUCCUUCCCCCCAAACAUGUUCAUGUCUUACCCUUGGACCCUAGGGACCUGUAAGGGAAAUUCGGAUUGCAGAUGAAAUUAAGGUUGCUAAUCAGUUGAACUUAAAAUAGGGAGAAUAGUUCAGAUUACCCAGGUGGGCCCAAUACAAUCACAAAGGUCCUUAAAAGUGAAAGGCUGAGGCAGAAAAGGGGUCCAUGUGAUGCAACAUGAGAAUGACUCAACCCAACUUUGCUGGUUUUGAAGCUGGAGGGAGGUCAAAGCAAGGACUGUGGGCAGCUUCUAGAAAACUAGGAAAGACAUGGAAAUAGAGUCUCCCCUAAAGCCUCCGGAAAAACAUGCAGCACUGCAAACGCCUAGGUGCAAAUCAAAAAUUAUGUGUUACAUGACUUGAGAAGGCUUAAAAAGUAGAAAAGUUCUGAUUCUUUCUCUGGAGCACUAGGCCUCAAUGAGUUACUUUUCCAUGAAGAAUGUCUAGAAAAACUCAAUAAUUCUCAGUUUACCCUCCUGCAAGAGAUAUAUAUAUAUAUCUUUUGUUUUUAGUAAAAGAGAGUCCAUUUCUGAAAUCCUGAUAUAACAUAUUAAAUAUAUGUUUUUAAUGAAUAAAUAUUUUUAAUGAAAAUGUAUAUUUAGUGAACAGAUAUAUCACCAACAAUGCCACCACCCAGAGUAAUCAUACUUGACGUUUUGGAGACUAUAAUUUUAGGGGUGUGCAUGUGUAUGUGUUUGUGUGUGCGUGUGUAUCUGGGCAUCUACAAACAUGGCAUAAAAUCUUAAAAUCUUUACAAGUUUUCCUCAUCAGGCACAUAACACAAACAGUCUUGCCAUUUAUUUUUCUUCUUUGACACCCCUCAGAAAAAAUUUGGAGUCUUUAGAAAGGUCUAACACAUUUCUAAUUAUAUUUAGUCUUCAAAAUUUUAUGUUUGUGUAGCUACUGUGAAGCUUUUCUAUUGCAUGUUCUAAGAGGUUAUUGAGGAUGUGGCUAUAUUUUUUCAUUAUGUAUACUAAAAUUAUCUUUCUGUACUCUCUUAGUUCUAAUAUUUUUUUUCAAUAAAUUCCCAGAUAUUUUCCAAAGAAGCAAUUAUGUUUUCUAAAAAUAAUGGUAGGAGUUCCCAUUGUGGCACAGCGGAAACGAAUCUAACUAGGAACCAUGAGGUUGCAGGUUUGAUCUCUGGCCUCCCUCAGUGGGUUAAGGAUCUGGCAUUGCUGCCAGCUGUGGUGUAGGUCAUCCUUAACCCACUGAGCAAGGCCAGGGAUAGAACCUGCGUCCUCAUGGUUACUAGCUGGGCUCGUUACCACUGCGCCACAAUGGGAAUUCUUUUUUAUUUAUUUUAAACAUUUCUUUUUUAAUAAUAAAAGCAUCAAAUGCUAUGAAUUUCCUCUGAGUACAGUUUUCACCAGAAUGUGGUGUAGUUAUCAUUAGUAUUUCCUAAGUAGUUUAUAAUUGCACUUUGGAUUUAGUCUUUGAUCCCAGAGCUAUUUAGGAGAAAUAUUUUAUGAGUUUUCCCCCAAACUCAAAAGCUUGAUCAUUUUUUUCUGUUUAUUUAUUUAUUUUUUAAAAAUUUCUAAAUUUGCUGGCUCUAUCACCAGCAUCUACCAU
Molecule: long non-coding RNA, 1981 nt
Filed under: Sus scrofa (pig)
Lineage: Eukaryota; Metazoa; Chordata; Mammalia; Artiodactyla; Suidae
Description: lncRNA (ENSSSCG00045004543.1)
Source: RNAcentral